AUACUUACUUGGCAGGGGAUACACCAUGAUCAUGAAGGUGGUUUUCCCAGGUUAGGCUUAUCCAUUGGCCUCUAGGUAUGCUGACCUCAUGAUUUCCCCAAAUGUGGGAAACUUGACAGUAUAAUUUGUGGUUUAA
RNAcentral lists this small nuclear RNA (136 nucleotides) under Salvator merianae (Argentine black and white tegu). RNAcentral describes it as "U1 spliceosomal RNA (ENSSMRG00000022750.1)". It matches the Rfam family "U1 spliceosomal RNA", at positions 1 to 139 of the family's 166-position model. From Rfam's summary of the family: U1 is a small nuclear RNA (snRNA) component of the spliceosome (involved in pre-mRNA splicing). Its 5' end forms complementary base pairs with the 5' splice junction, thus defining the 5' donor site of an intron. There are significant differences in sequence and secondary structure between metazoan and yeast U1 snRNAs, the latter being much longer (568 nucleotides as compared to 164 nucleotides in human). Lineage: Eukaryota; Metazoa; Chordata; Lepidosauria; Squamata; Teiidae. The record is from RNAcentral.